This 507-nucleotide ribosomal RNA is filed under the name uncultured bacterium. Its description in RNAcentral is "bacterial SSU rRNA". It matches the Rfam family "Bacterial small subunit ribosomal RNA", at positions 29 to 526 of the family's 1533-position model. The record is from RNAcentral.
AGUGAACGCUGGCGGCAGGCCUAACACAUGCAAGUCGAACGGCAGCGGGUCGUAGCAAUACGAUGCCGGCGAGUGGCGGACGGGUGAGGAAUACAUCGGAAUCUACCUUGUCGUGGGGGAUAACGUAGGGAAACUUACGCUAAUACCGCAUACGAACCAUGGUUGAAAGCGGCGGACCGCAAGGCGUCGCGCGAUUGGAUGAGCCUAUGUCCGAUUAGCUAGUUGGCGGGGUAAAGGCCCACCAAGGCGACGAUCGGUAGCUGGUCUGAGAGGAUGAUCAGCCACACUGGAACUGAGACACGGUCCAGACUCCUACGGGAGGCAGCAGUGGGGAAUAUUGGACAAUGGGGGCAACCCUGAUCCGGCCAUGCCGCGUGUGUGAAGAAGGCCUUCGGGUUGUAAAGCACUUUUGUUGGGGAAGAAAAGCACUGGGUUAAUACCCUGGUGUCAUGACGGUACCCAAAGAAUAAGCACCGGCUAACUUCGUGCCAGCCGCCGCAGUAACAC